UUGGUAGGCCUCUGCUCUGUAUCAUUUCUCAUGUAGUUCAUUUGUUGGUCCAUAAUCAUCAGUUUACACAUUCAGCUGCUUAUUCUGAUAAGUAGAAAUCAUGCUGUCAGUUUAGCAGGAGGAGCAUGGGUGGGAUUAUCUUCUCCCAUGGUGAGCCUGAACUGUGCUUCUUCAUGGGACAGAGCACAGUUUGGUCCAUGCAUUUAAGUCCAUUAUGGGGAAGAGGAAAUGCUG
Molecule: long non-coding RNA, 234 nt
Organism: Strigops habroptila (Kakapo)
Lineage: Eukaryota; Metazoa; Chordata; Aves; Psittaciformes; Psittacidae
Exons: 3
Source: RefSeq, a predicted model, not a curated record